RNAcentral lists this long non-coding RNA (214 nucleotides) under Elaeis guineensis (African oil palm). RNAcentral describes it as "long non-coding RNA (EGUI_LNC058282)". The record is from RNAcentral. Lineage: Eukaryota; Viridiplantae; Streptophyta; Magnoliopsida; Arecales; Arecaceae.
AAGCUCGAACACUGACGAAGUCCGGAUGAAGUUCGAAAUAGAGUCGUUCAUGGCCAGAAGAAGUCUGGAAGAGAUUCAGAGAAUAGUCGAUCAUCGUAGAAAAUCGAUUGAUAGCAGAGUUUAGAGGGCGUUUAGAGUAGUCCGAUAGAUGAAUGGAGAAGCUCAUUGUCGGAGAAGUUCGGAUGGUCGAGGGAGUUCAGAAAGACGUCACACA